GCAAAUGAUGAGACAUUUGAACAAGAAUAGGAAUUGCCGUCAGAGCGAUAACUGACGAAUACUCAUACUCUGAUG
Non-coding RNA from Nematostella vectensis (starlet sea anemone), 75 nucleotides. Lineage: Eukaryota; Metazoa; Cnidaria; Anthozoa; Actiniaria; Edwardsiidae. The record is from Rfam.